AGUGAAAUAGCUGGGUCAAAUGGUCAUCCCAUUCCCAGUUUUCCAAGUAUUGUCCAUAAUGCUUUCUAGAUUGGCUGCACCAAUUUGCAGUCCCACCAGCAAU
This 103-nucleotide microRNA precursor is filed under the name Marmota monax (woodchuck). Lineage: Eukaryota; Metazoa; Chordata; Mammalia; Rodentia; Sciuridae. The record is from RNAcentral.